RNAcentral lists this ribosomal RNA (419 nucleotides) under uncultured bacterium. RNAcentral's name for it is "bacterial SSU rRNA". It matches the Rfam family "Bacterial small subunit ribosomal RNA", at positions 29 to 490 of the family's 1533-position model. The record is from RNAcentral.
AACGAACGCUGGCGGCAUGCCUAACACAUGCAAGUCGAACGCGUGGCUUCGGCCACGAGUGGCGCACGGGUGAGUAACGCGUGGGAACCUGCCCAUCGGUACGGAACAACCGCGGGAAACUGCGGCUGAUACCGUAUAUACCCUGCGGGGGAAAGAUUUAUCGCCGAUGGAGGGGCCCGCGUCGGAUUAGGUAGUUGGUGGGGUAACGGCCUACCAAGCCUGCGAUCCGUAGCUGGUCUGAGAGGAUGAUCAGCCACACUGGGACUGAGACACGGCCCAGACUCCUACGGGAGGCAGCAGUGGGGAAUAUUGGACAAAUGGGGGCAACCCUGAUCCAGCAAUGCCGCGUGAGUGAAGAAGGCCUUAGGGUUGUAAAGCUCUUUCGGCGGGGACGAUGAUGACGGUACCCGCAGAAGAAG